CUUUUAAUUUCCAGUAGGGUUUCAUCGCCUCCCGCACCUCCCCUCCUCCACCUCCCAUGACGCGAACUCUUUAAGAGAUCGGGCCAGUUGGCUUUGAGACUGUUCCUCCCUCUGAGUUUAGCCCGUGGUUCCCAAGGGUCCCUCUCUCCCAUCUAUUUCUGGAAAUUAAGUCUACAGGAUUGAUUAGACUUGAUUGAUUAGAAGCCUUCGUAGGUGGGGACCCAGGAUGCUUGGCUGCCCCCCCAGCACCAGGGAUGAUGCCGAGACGUGUGGCUGGGUCAAGAACCUUCAUGUAUCAUUUCGAAAUCUACGUGUGAGCAUAAUGACUUCGCACAAUGGAUAUUGUCGUUUUGCAGACGCUGAAACCCCACCAGGUGGAAGAAGUUAACUGCCGGCUGCCCAGCAGAGACCCCUGACUGGUUGGAACCAGAAGGUUGAUGAGGCUGACUCCCCACGACCUCACCACCAGCCAAUCAGAAGAGUGUCCACGAGCUGAUCACGCCCUGCUCCUUGAAAACUCUAAGACUCCGCACUGCUCCGUCCAGGGCAAGACAUAGUCUUGGGGGCACUAGCCUGCUGUGGCGCCCUUUGCCUGGCAAAGCCAUAAAGCUGUUCUUUUCUAAUUUCCCCAGAACUCUGUCUCCGUGAUUCAAUUCCUUGCUGGUGCACAGAGGCCGAGUUUCGGCAGCAAGACGACAGAGUAAUUUGAGAUUGAUUCUAAUUGGGAGAAUCCCAGGAAGGUUUUUGCAGGAAGGGCCUUUCGAGAUGGGUGUGGAAGUAGGAGUAGGAGUUUGAGCAGCUGACGUUGACAAAGGCCUUUGAGGCUGAGGAGAACACAAGAGUGAGAACCGGGCAGUGUCUGGCCUGUCUGGGGAGUGGAGUGUGUGGCCUGCCCGGAAGGAGAGCCAGAGGUUCAGUUAAAAAGGGGAGCGGGCCUCAGAGAGAAAAUGGUUUUGAGUGCUGGGUGGGGUGCUUGGAUCUUAUUCCAAAGGCAUCUCAGUCACGGAAAAAACUUGGGAAGAAUAUAACCAGACCCGACGUACUUAAGGGAAGGCUGCGGAUUAUUCCCUGUAAAGGGGUGAAAGGGGGUCUUGGAGGGACCCUUCUCCACACCUCCUCCUCUCCAGCGCCUCUGCCUCCUCUGCCCCCAGGAAACGCCUGAACUUGCGUGGCUGCCCCCACAAGGUUUUGCACUCCAAGACUUCUAAGGAGAAGGAUGCUUUUCCGGGCUCAGGAUAAGGGAAAGAAGAUGUGAACACUAGGGACCUGGGAGAUGGACAUCCUUGAAAGGAGGCAGCAUAAAUGGCUCCAUCACACACAGCAAGAGUCCAGAGCUGCGCUGUCCAAUAAACGCAUCUAAAAAUCUAGUUUCUCUAUCACGCAUGCACAUUUCAAGCGCUCAGUAGCCAUGUGGAGUGGUUGAUGGCUGCCAUAUUGGACAUUCUGCCGAUCUAGAACAUUCCACCAUCACAGGAGGUUCUACUGGCUAGUGCUGCUAUGGAAGAUAACAAAAUGCACAUACACAAAUAUCUCAUUUUGAUCUUUGGGACUCCAUUAUUGAUCCUGUUGGUGACUUGAUCUAAGCUGUGCAGCCUCUGGAUGGCAGAAGCAAAAGGGGGGCCCCUUGGAUUCCCGGUCCAGUGUCCCAUGUUCCGGUCCUCUUACCUGAGGUCACACAGAGCAUGGAGGGCAGGUGCAGCAUGAUGAGGGGGAGAGAGUUGAUUAUAAAGGCUGCUGGCCCCACUGUAUUUCCCAGGAUUUCUUUUUUUAAAUGAUUAGGAUUUGCUCUUAUUUCCUGUGUGUUCUGCUAACAUUUUCUGCCUAGUGGUUUAUUAAAUGUA
This is a non-coding RNA of Sus scrofa (pig), 1841 nucleotides long. NCBI's taxonomy places the organism in Eukaryota, Metazoa, Chordata, Mammalia, Artiodactyla, Suidae. The record is from RefSeq and is a predicted model, not a curated record.